This 476-nucleotide ribosomal RNA is filed under the name uncultured crenarchaeote. RNAcentral describes it as "bacterial SSU rRNA". It matches the Rfam family "Archaeal small subunit ribosomal RNA", at positions 336 to 813 of the family's 1478-position model. The record is from RNAcentral. Lineage: Archaea; Thermoproteati; Thermoproteota.
CAGGCGCGAAAACUUUGCAAUGUGCGAAAGCACGACAAGGUUAAUCCGAGUGAUUUGUGCUAAACGAAUCUUUUGUUAGUCCUAGAAACACUAACGAAUAAGGGGUGGGCAAGUUCUGGUGUCAGCCGCCGCGGUAAAACCAGCACCUCAAGUGGUCAGGAUGAUUAUUGGGCCUAAAGCAUCCGUAGCCGGCUCUGUAAGUUUUCGGUUAAAUCUGUACGCUUAACGUACAGGCUGCCGGGAAUACUGCAGAGCUAGGGAGUGGGAGAGGUAGACGGUACUCGGUAGGAAGGGGUAAAAUCCUUUGAUCUAUUGAUGACCACCUGUGGCGAAGGCGGUCUACCAGAACACGUCCGACGGUGAGGGAUGAAAGCUGGGGGAGCAAACCGGAUUAGAUACCCGGGUAGUCCCAGCUGUAAACUAUGCAAACUCAGUGAUGCAUUGACUUGUGGUCAAUGCAGUGCUGCAGGGAAGCC